GUUUGUUUGGAGUUAUAAAGAAUUUAACCUGCCCCCUGAUUAACUACUAAUUAAAGGGCCGCAGUAUUAUAACUGUGCAAAGGUAGCAUAAUCAUUAGGUUUUUAAUUGAAAUCUCGUAUGAAUGGUUGGACAAAAGAAAGACUCUCUUUAUAUUAAGUUUUGAAUUUAACUUUUAAGUGAAAAGGCUUAAAUAUUCUAAGGGGACGAUAAGACCCUAUAAAACUUUACAUUGUCAUUAAUUUUGAUUGAAUUUAUGAAAUAAAAAUUUUAUUUGAUUAUUUGUUAUGUUGGGGAGACAUAAGUAAAAUAUUUUUUUAACUGCUUGAUAGUUAUACAAUUAUUAGUGAAUAAGUAGAAGAUCCUUUUUAAGAUUAGUAGAUUAAGUUACUUUAGGGAUAACAGUGUAAUUUCUUUUGAGAGUUCUUAUCGAAAAAGAAGGUUGCAACCUCGAUGUUGAAUUAAAAUAUCUAUAUAAUGGAGAGGUUAUAUAAGAAGGUCUGUUCGACCUUGAAAAUUUUACAUGAUUUGAGUUCAAACCGGCGUGAG
This 547-nucleotide ribosomal RNA is filed under the name Longpotamon loudiense. RNAcentral's name for it is "partial 16S ribosomal RNA". It matches the Rfam family "Bacterial large subunit ribosomal RNA", at positions 1831 to 2625 of the family's 2925-position model. Lineage: Eukaryota; Metazoa; Arthropoda; Malacostraca; Decapoda; Potamidae. The record is from RNAcentral. RNAcentral also lists the same sequence under 1 other name.